This is a long non-coding RNA of Drosophila ananassae, 466 nucleotides long. RefSeq lists it as uncharacterized. Lineage: Eukaryota; Metazoa; Arthropoda; Insecta; Diptera; Drosophilidae. The transcript has 3 exons. The record is from RefSeq and is a predicted model, not a curated record.
CUCGACGAGAGCUUCACGCUAUAGCCCAGACCCCAACGGAUUUCCAGACUGGAAGUGUCGUCAGCAGCGGCUGCGAUGGCAGCAGAGCAGAAGCCUGGCCUGCAUGCAUUAUGCAUUGGGCCAGUCUUCACUGUAUCUAACCAGAAACUAACCUUAUAAAAUGGAUAUUGAAUUGAUUGGCCAGAAUAUACUUUUGGUUUGUUUUCACAAUAGAAACAAUAAUUCUGUAGCUGGAAGUGUGUAACUGAAAGAGAUUGUUGUUACCAAACUUUUGUUACCUUUGGGAAAUCAACCCUAACAUGGUGCCAUUCCCACCAACAGUGAUUAACAUGAACAGGAUGUGGGAAGUACAUUUCCCGGAGCUUUAAUCACGAAACCGAAAUCCCUUGGCUGUCAAAUCCUUUCGGGCCUCCAAAAUCUGUGCUUGAAGUUCCUUGGCUGCUUCAGGACAGUCGUUAAAUGUAAA